CAUUGGUUAUAAAUAAUUUAAUUAAUUCAAGUUACAAAUCUAUAACAUUGAGGCAGUAAAACCUUAGAAAGGAUCAUGACAAAAAUCUGCAUGUAUAACUAUAACCAGUUGCCUGCAUUUAACUACAUCAAAAACUCAUUUGAAGACAAGCAUCUAAUUUCGAAAUUUUUUCAGCAGGUAAAACAUUUCUGACAGCUUGAUAAUCCCCAGGGUACUUCACAGAAACAUCUUUAACGAAAUGUACUAAUGUUGACUGUACAUCU
RNAcentral lists this long non-coding RNA (263 nucleotides) under Mytilus galloprovincialis (Mediterranean mussel). Lineage: Eukaryota; Metazoa; Mollusca; Bivalvia; Mytilida; Mytilidae. The record is from RNAcentral.